GACGAACGCUGGCGGCGUGCUUAACACAUGCAAGUCGAACGGAAAGGCCCUGCUUUUGUGGGGUGCUGGAGUGCCGAAAGGGUGAGUAUCACGUGUGUAACCUGCCCUUGUCUUUGGGAUACCUUCAGGAAACUGGGGUUAAUACCGGACAGGAGAUCCUGCUGCAUGGUGGGGAUGGAAAGUUUCGGCGGUUGGGGAUGGAAUCGCGGCUUAUCAGCUUGAUGGUGGGGUAGGGGCUUACCAAGGCUAUGACGGGUAGCCGGCCUGGGAGGGUGACCGGCCACAUAGGGCCUGAGGUAGGGCCCAGAGUGAUACGGGAGGCAGGGGGGGGAAAUAUUGCACAAUGGGCGGAAGCCUGAUGCAGCGACGCCGCGUGGGGAAUGACGGUCUGUGGGUAAUAACCCGCUUUAGCCUGUGACGAAGCGUGAGUGACGGUAAUGGGUAAAGAAGCACCGGCUAACUACGUG
This 467-nucleotide ribosomal RNA is filed under the name uncultured bacterium. RNAcentral's name for it is "partial 16S ribosomal RNA". It matches the Rfam family "Bacterial small subunit ribosomal RNA", at positions 28 to 507 of the family's 1533-position model. The record is from RNAcentral.